AGAGUUUGAUCAUGGCUCAGGACGAACGCUGGCGGCGUGCUUAACACAUGCAAGUCGAGCGAGAAAGCACCUUCGGGUGUGAGUACAGCGGCGAACGGGUGAGUAACACGUGGGCAACCUGCCCCAGAGACCGGGAUAACGUUCCGAAAGGGACGCUAAUACUGGAUGACGCGUGACCUGCCAAGUAGGUCGCGCCAAAUGGUAGCUUCGGCUUCUGUUCUGGGAUGGGCCCGCGCCGGAUUAGCUUGUUGGUGAGGUAAUGGCUCACCAAGGCGACGAUCCGUAGCUGGUCUGAGAGGACGAUCAGCCACACUGGGACUGAGACACGGCCCAGACUCCUACGGGAGGCAGCAGUGGGGAAUCUUGCGCAAUGGGCGAAAGCCUGACGCAGCAACGCCGCGUGAGCGAAGACGGCCUUCGGGUUGUAAAGCUCUGUCAGGAGGGACGAAGCCACUCAGGUGAAUAGCCGAGAGGGUGACGGUACCUCCAGAGGAAGCCCCGGCUAACUACGUGCCAGCAGCCGCGGUAAUACGUAGGGGGCAAGCGUUGUCCGGAAUCAUUGGGCGUAAAGCGCGUGUAGGCGGCCAUCCAAGUCCGAUGUGAAAGCUCGGGGCUCAACCCCGAGUCUGCAUUGGAAACUGUAUGGCUUGAGUCCGGAAGAGGAGACUGGAAUUCCUGGUGUAGCGGUGAAAUGCGCAGAUAUCAGGAAGAACACCGGUGGCGAAGGCGGGUCUCUGGGACGGUACUGACGCUGAGACGCGAAAGCGUGGGGAGCAAACAGGAUUAGAUACCCUAGUAGUCC
Molecule: ribosomal RNA, 802 nt
Filed under: uncultured bacterium
Lineage: Bacteria
Description: bacterial SSU rRNA
Rfam family: Bacterial small subunit ribosomal RNA
Source: RNAcentral